This 473-nucleotide ribosomal RNA is filed under the name uncultured bacterium. Its description in RNAcentral is "partial 16S ribosomal RNA". It matches the Rfam family "Bacterial small subunit ribosomal RNA", at positions 28 to 507 of the family's 1533-position model. The record is from RNAcentral.
GAUAAACGCUGGCGGCGCACAUAAGACAUGCAAGUUGAACGGACUUAAUCGAAAUAUUUAUAUUUUGAAGCGGUUAGUGGCGGACUGGUGAGUAACGCGUAAGGAACCUGCCUAUUAGAGGGGAAUAACAGUGAGAAAUCAUUGCUAAUACCGCAUAUGCCAUAGAUAUCACAUGAUAACAGUGGGAAAGGAGCAAUCCGCUAAUAGAUGGCCUUGCGUCUGAUUAGAUAGUUGGUGGGGUAACGGCCUACCAAGUCGACGAUCAGUAGCCGGACUGAGAGGUUGCGCGGCCAAAUUGGGACUGAGAUACGGCCCAGACUCCUACGGGAGGCAGCAGUCGGGAAUAUUGCGCAAUGGAGGAAACUCUGACGCAGUGACGCCGCGUAUAGGAAGAAGGUUUUCGGAUUGUAAACUAUUGUCGUUAGGGAAGAGAAAGGACAGUACCUAAGGAGGAAGCUCCGGCUAACUACGUG